UUUUAAGAGGAGACUAGUCGAGGUUUUUGAGUGAAAUAAAAGUAGCCGGGAAAGCAGAGCGUUAAACUGUUCGAAAUAACCGAAUAUAGAAAUGUACGGUGCGUACUUCGGUGGAGGGUUGAGCCGCCUCAAGCUCGCCGUGUUUCAAAAACUCGGCCCUAUCAUCACCAUUAGCUCUAGCUCUAGCUCUAGGGUUUUCUCUUCUUCUUCAACCGCUGCCAUUGAUGCUGCUGCUUGGCCGACCAAGCGAGUGGGCACUCACGACGGCAGCUUCCACUGCGACGAAGCUCUCGGCUGCUUUCUGAUUCGCCUCACCAACAAGUUCUCAGCCGCUCGAAUCGUUCGAACCAGAGAUCCCCACGUUUUGGGCACGCUUGAUGCUGUGCUUGAUGUUGGCGGCGUGUAUGAUCCGAUCAGAGAUCGUUACGAUCAUCACCAGAAAGGUUUUAAGGAGGUUUUUGGCCAUGGAUUCACCACCAAACUCAGUAGCGCUGGCCUUGUUUAUAAGCAUUAUGGAUUGGAGAUAAUUGCAAAGGAGCUUCACCUUGAUGAAGGACACCAAGAUGUAUAUCCACUCUAUCUUGCUGUCUAUAAAAACUUUAUAGAGGCAGUUGAUGCUAUUGACAAUGGCACCAAUCAAUAUGACACAGAUCAGCCUCCAAGAUAUGUGAAUAAUACAAACUUGUCGUCAAGAGUAGGACGAUUGAAUCUGGACUGGGUGGAUCUUGAUCAAUCACUUGAGAGAGAGAAUGAGGCUUUUCAACAUGCAUUGACUCUCACUGGGAGUGAGUUUCUCGAGAGUGUUCAUUUUCAUGCAAAGUCAUGGUUACCAGCUCGAUCAAUUGUUAUGGAGUGUCUUGCAGCAAGGGAAGAUAUUGAUUCCAGUGGAGGAAUUAUGGUGCUGACUAGAUCUUGCCCUUGGAAGCUUCACAUAUUCGAUCUGGAGGAGGGAAUGAAGAUUGAUCCUACCAUCAAAUAUGUUAUUUAUCAGGUACAGGAUGAAAGGAGUGAAAAUUGGCGAGUGCAGGCAGUGGCAAUCUCACCUGAUAAAUUUGAAAGUCGGAAACCUCUACCAUCUCCCUGGAGGGGUUUAACAGAUGGAGAGCUCUCUGAGGCGGCGGGAAUCCCUGGUUGUACCUUUGUCCAUAUGAGCGGUUUCAUAGGUGGUAAUCAAACUUAUAAGGGUGCAUUGGAUAUGGCAAAGACUUCUUUGAUGGCUUAAGUAAGGGAGAAAAACACAAUCUCUUGCUCUUCGAGCUGUAAAAGGCCAAUCAUACAUCAGUAUUCCCCCAAAAGAUCUUUGGCUUCUGAAUGAGUACAUCAAGCGAGUGUUAAUCAUCAUUUUACAAAGGAGGUUUGGUUGCCGCUGCCCGAAUCGUCAAGCCUGAAGGGACGGCACGAAAACUUACUCUCCGGCUCGAAAAUCUAACGGCUUCAUUAGUAGAAUUUAAAAA
Camellia sinensis is the source of this 1454-nucleotide non-coding RNA. The record is from RefSeq and is a predicted model, not a curated record. Lineage: Eukaryota; Viridiplantae; Streptophyta; Magnoliopsida; Ericales; Theaceae.